UAAGACGAGCCUCACAAACGUUAUUCGGAAUUACUGGGCUUAAAGGGUGCGUAGGCGGCGCGGAAAGUUGGGUGUGAAAUCCCUCGGCUCAACCGAGGAAUUGCGCUCAAAACUACCGUGCUCGAGGGAGAUAGAGGAGCGCGGAACUUAGGGUGGAGCGGUGAAAUGCGUUGAUAUCCUAGGGAACACCGGUGGCGAAAGCGGCGCUCUGGAUCUCAUCUGACGCUGAUGCACGAAAGCUAGGGUAGCGAACGGGAUUAGAUACCCCGGUAGUCCUAGCCGUAAACGAUGAGCACUGGAUUGAAGAUCCCUCCAUAGGUUUUCAGUCGCAGAGAAAUUGUUUAGUGCUCCGCCUGGGGAGUAUGGUCGCAAGGCUG
RNAcentral lists this ribosomal RNA (377 nucleotides) under uncultured bacterium. Its description in RNAcentral is "bacterial SSU rRNA". It matches the Rfam family "Bacterial small subunit ribosomal RNA", at positions 521 to 896 of the family's 1533-position model. The record is from RNAcentral.